Molecule: non-coding RNA, 3693 nt
Organism: Solanum lycopersicum (tomato)
Lineage: Eukaryota; Viridiplantae; Streptophyta; Magnoliopsida; Solanales; Solanaceae
Source: RefSeq, a predicted model, not a curated record
AUAGGUUGUAACGGCUAAGGAUUUAGAAUUUCUUAGGGUAUAGGAUUUAUCAUUUACGAUUUCUUAGUGUUUGGUUUAUUUAACGGUUUUUAGGGUUUAGGGUUUUGGCUUAAGAUUUUCUAGAAUUUUUUGGUUCAGAAUUUUAAAAGGUUUUUAUUUUAUUUCUAAUUAAGAAGACUUUCUAAGAACUUGGGGUUUUUACAGGGUUUCAAGUUUUCAAAAGUUUAGGAUUAAGGAUUUUCAAAUGUUUUUAGGUUUUGUUUUGGUCAUUUCUAAGUUUUAGGGUUUCGAUUUCACCAUCUGGGUUUAAGGUCUAGGUUUUCUAUUAAAAAGUUUUUAUCUUUAAAGGUUUAGGGCUUAAGGUUUUGUAAAAAAAUUUAGGUUGAGAGUUUUUUUACAUUUAGGGUUUUAAAAGGGGUUUUCAAGAUUUUUAUGAUUUUUUUACGAUUUUGGGGUUCAUGGGGUUCUGUUUCUUUUGGAUUAUAGGAGCUUAAGUUUUUGUAAGAUUUUUUUAGGUUAAGAGGUUUUUUUAUUUAGGUUUUUAAAGAUUUUUUAGGAUCAUUACUAUUUUUACGAUUUAGGAGUUCUUAAGGCUUAGAGAUUAGGGUUUUAUAUUAAUGAUUAUUGUUAGGGUUUUUACGAUUUGUUUUAAGGGUUCUUUGUUUGGGUUUUAAAGGUUUUUAUCGGGUUUUUGUGUUUGAUUUUUCUUAGGAUAUGGGGUUUCUUAGAGUUUAGGGUUGGAAGUUUAUCCUUAAGGUUUAGGGUUUAGGUUUGACAUGUAAGGUUUCCUAAGUUUUUUUAGGGUUUUUAGGUUGUAGGAUUAAGGGAUUAGGUUUGACAUGUCUAAGAUUAUUUAGAGGUUUUUAAGAUUUAAAGAGUUCUUAGGGUUUGGAGUUCCAUAGAGUUCACAAUUUUAAAACAAUUAUUUUUAGGUUAAAUUAUGGUGUAGGGCUUAAUGUUUAUUAGGUUAUUUAAAGUUAAGGUUUUAGGGUUUGUAAAAGGUUUUUUUCUGGACUUUCUAAAGGUUUCAUAGAGUUUAGGGUAUUAGAGUUUUUUAGGUAUAAGGUUUCUUAAGGUAUAUAUUUUAGGAUCUUAGGUUUUAGGAUAUUAGGGUUUAUAAGGGUUUAAGGUUUAGAGUUUUUUUUUGAAUUUACGAUUUAGUGUUUCUGCUUGUUUCUUAGCGUAUGUCAGGGUUUCUUGGUUGCUUCAGCGUUUAGAAAGAUUUUUGGGGUUUAAUUUUUUUUUUAAAGGUUUCUUUAUGUUUAGGGUUAAGGACAAAGGUUUAAUGUUUAGUAGGUAUAGGGUUUCGAGUUGUAGGUAAGAGGUUUUUUUAGGAUUUAUGGUCUUUUUUAGGUUUAUCAUUUUUAUGAUUGAGGUUUUUAAAUAUUUUAAGCGUCUCUUAGGUCUUUUUAUGAUUUUGGAUUUCUUAUGAUUUAGGGUUACGUAGGAUUUUAUGUUUAGGAUGUUGAUUUUAAAGUAAACUAUUGUGUGUGUAGUGGUAUUAUAGUUUUAGGAGUAUUAAAGGUAGGCUUAGGGUUUUAAAGAGAUUUAUUGUGUGUUUUGUGGUAUUAAAGGGUUUUAGGGUUGCAUUAGGUUAAGAGUUGAGGAUUUAGAGUUUCUUAAGAUAUACGAUUUUCUGUUUUGGAUUUCUUAGAGUUUAUAGCAUUUUGGGCAUGCUUAAGAUUUUCAAAGUUUUUCUAAGGUUUAGAUGAAUUUUUUGGUAUAGGUUUUAGAGGGUUUUUAGGAUCUUCAUAGUUUUUUACGAUUUAAGGGUUUAAGGUUAAGGGCUUUUAAAGGGGUUUAGGGGUUUUAUAGGGUUUAGGGUUUUACACUUGGCUUUUUAAAUGUUUAUAGUUUUUUUUAAUUCUGAAGAGUUAGAAGCCCUAAAGUUUAUGGUGAAGGGUUUAGGGUUUGUUAGGUAUAGAUUUUAGCAUUUAGGAUUCUUAGAAUCUAGGUUUUAUGUUUAGCGUUUUUUCCAGAAGGAAUAGGGUUUAAACUGUUUCUUAGGUUUUAGCCUUUAUGAUUUAAGGUUUUUAGAGGUUUUUGAUUUCUUGCGUUUUGGCUUUUAGAAGGUUUUUAAAAUUAGAUUGAGGUCACUUGUAAUCCUAGGUCCCUUGUUACGUCAACAAGGUAACCUUGGAGCGUGACAAAAACUAUUUCUGAAUAAAAAGUCUCUAACUACUAGAGAUGCUAGGACAUGCCCCCAGCUAACUCUAUCAAAACUAAAACUAAAAUGGAAAACUGAAUAUAAAAUAUGUCAAUCGUCCUCGAAGAAUGAGGACUUACCAUUGAUAUUGUUGAACACAAAUGGGGAGCUGAUCUCCAAGUGAUUUGAAUGUUGAGGACCUUACCUACAUCAGGAGAAGAGGUAGCGUAGAAUGUGUGUUAGUACUUGAAAGGUACCGAGCAUGCAUAAUAGGAUAAAGUUGAAAAAAUAUGUAUAACUCAACACAAAGCAUAUUGAACAAUGAUAAAAUGCGAACAUGAUGAAUAAGGGUUUAAGAAUUUGGUCAAGGGUUUUUAGGUUUAAGAUUUCUUAAGGAUUUUUUAGGUUAAGAGUUUAUGAAGUUCUUUUUUGUUGUUUUUAGGGUUCAGGUUUACUUAGUGUUUUUUUUUGUAUUUAGUGUUUGCUUAGGAUAAGGCUUUGGUUUUAAACGGUAAUAGAUCAGGGUUAAGAGUUUGGGUUUCUUUGGUUUUUAAGGGAUUAGGUUUUGUUAGUCACUUUUAGGGUUUAGUGCUAUUUAAAAUUAUCUUUUGGGUAAAUUAUGGUGUAGGGCUUAGUAUUUUUAAGUUUUUUUUAGGAUUUAGGGUUUAGGAUGUUUUAGGGUAUUAGCAUUUACGAUUUAGUGUUUCUUGAGUUUCUUAGCUUAUGUUAGGGUUUCUUGGUUAAAGGUUCAGGGCUUUGAACUUUAGGUUAAAAGAUUUUUUUUUACUUUUUCAGGGUUUAUGAUUUUUAUAAUUUUGUUUUAAAUGUUUUUGGGGUUGCUUAGAUCUUUUUAAGCUUUUAGAUUUCUAAAGAUUUACAGUACUUAGGAUUUUCUUUAAGGGCUUAGGAUUUUAAAUAGAUUUAUUGUGUUUUUCGGGGUAUUACAGUUCUAGGGAUUUAAUAGGGUUUUACGAUCUAGAUUUUCUUAGUGUUUCAUAAGGUGUGGCGUUUAGUAUUUAGCCUUAUAGUUUUGAGUAAAAGAUCUAUAGUUUCUUAAGGUAUAGGAUUUAACAUUUAAGAUUUCUCAGGGUUUGAUUUUUUAAGGGUUUUUAGGGUUGAAGAUUUCUAAGGUUUUUCAACGUUUAGAGGAAUCUUUAGGAUUAGGGUUUUUAGGAUUUUUUGAUUUUUUUAUGAUUAAAGGGUUCUUAUUUGAAUUUUUAUAAGGUUUUUAAAGAUUUAUAGUUUGAGGUUUUUAUUUUUUUUUAAGGUUUUUUAUUUCGUAAGCUUUAGGGUUUCCUUUUUUUAGCCUUAAGGAUUAGGGUGAAGGGUUAAAGGUUUCUUAGGAUUUAGAAUUUUUGGUCUAGGUUUUUUAUUAAGGGUUUUUUAAGGCUUAUGUUUUUGUAGAAUUUUUCAGGUUUCAAGUUUUUUUAGGUUCAUGUUUUCAAAGGUUUUUUCACGAUUUUUUACGAUUAUAGGGUUCUUAGGGUUUAGGAUUUUAUUAGAUUUAGGAUUUUUUUAGGGAGUAGGGAUUUUAAGAGUUCUUUAGA